GCUCUUCCGUUUCUCGACCGGACACCUUAUAUUGGGAGCGUUCUCGCAAGAGGACUAUGACGAUAAACUGUCAUCGAAAUAAACCUUUCGGACCCGGGGGCAGUACCCGGCGCCUCCACCAGAACCCGUUCCGGCGUGAGCCGAAUAGACGGGCUCUGGCGGGGGCGAACCAGGAUCGACGAGGGUGUAAAGGGUGGUCUUUCGUCCGGCAUUGUACCACCGUUAUCGGGCUAAACUUAUAGUUGCCAAUGACAACUAUGCUCCGGUUGCCGUCGCUGCGUAAUGCAGUGCCAAGACCGAAAUCAAAGCCCUUGCGCUUAGCCGCGUAAGGCGGGGCCCGGAGGCGCCUGGCAACAGAAGCCUCCACU
Molecule: transfer-messenger RNA, 368 nt
Filed under: Hyphomicrobiales bacterium
Lineage: Bacteria; Pseudomonadati; Pseudomonadota; Alphaproteobacteria; Hyphomicrobiales
Rfam family: Alphaproteobacteria transfer-messenger RNA
About the family: Bacterial tmRNA, also known as 10Sa RNA or SsrA, is named for its dual tRNA and mRNA-like properties. Its role is to liberate the mRNA from a stalled ribosome.
Source: RNAcentral